AGCUGAGAAGAGUGACCUGCUGAGAAAGCUGCUUUUGUAACCUGGUGGGGUGAAAUAAAAUUAUCAAAACAUUCCUAAUUAUGUUUCAGUUAAGAUUAAAUUCAACUUUAUUGUUAUUGCCUAAAAGUACAGUCAAAUGAAUAGGUUUUGUAUCUAUCUUCACUUCAAACAAGUCACGUGCUCAGAAAAUGCUUAGAAUGUGUCCAUUUUAAUAGGUUUUAAUGCAUAAGACAGUAGAUAGAAUAAAUAUUAGAUAAUAUAAAUAUGAGAGUUUUCUUACAGCCUUAAUCUGUCAUUGUUUCGUUUCAGACUGUCAGUCAAUUUUGGAAGCCUGAAGUGGGUUCAUUUUAAGUUUCCAUAUUCCAUAUGUUAAGAUAUGUUCAGUGUUGCUGCUGUGGAAGUGUUGUGGGUGACUUUUUAUUGAUGCAGGUCUAAUCAUACUUUAAGAGGUUCUCUAGACCAUGCAACUUUUUAAGUUCCUACGGUCCCAUCAUAAUUUCUUAAGAAGUACUGUAUAUGAUGUCAGUAUUUUCCAACAUUUUCUAAAUACUGUACCAGUACUGUGUAAAAUGCCAUCAAAAAGUCAAUUAAGUGUUAUUCUUUCUCA
Molecule: long non-coding RNA, 607 nt
Organism: Xyrauchen texanus (razorback sucker)
Lineage: Eukaryota; Metazoa; Chordata; Actinopteri; Cypriniformes; Catostomidae
Exons: 4
Source: RefSeq, a predicted model, not a curated record